AGCAGCCGCGGUAAUUCCAGCUCCAAUAGCGUAUAUUAAAGUUGUUGCAGUUAAAAAGCUCGUAGUUGAAUUUCGGGGUCAAUAUGUCGGUCGUGCCUUCGGUACGUACUGGUAUCAUUGGUCUCUCCUUUCUGACGAACCAUGAUGUCAUUAAUUUGGUGUUAUGGGGAGUUAGGACUGUUACUUUGAAAAAAUUGAGUGUUUAAAGCAAGCUAACGCUUGAAUACAUUAGCAUGGAAUAAUGAAAUAGGACGUUCGAUCCUAUUUUGUUGGUUUCUAGGAUUGACGUAAUGAUUAAUAGGGAUAGUUGGGGGCAUUAGUAUUCAAUUGUCAGAGGUGAAAUUCUUGGAUUUAUUGAAGACUAACUACUGCGAAAGCAUUUGCCAAGGAUGUUUCAUUAAUCAAGAACGUAAGUUAGGGAUCGAAGACGAUCAGAUACCGUCGUAGUCUUAACCAUAACUAUGCCGACUAGGGAUCGGAUGAUGUUAAUUUUUANGUACUCAUUCGGCUCUUUAAC
RNAcentral lists this ribosomal RNA (517 nucleotides) under uncultured Glomus. RNAcentral describes it as "SSU rRNA". It matches the Rfam family "Eukaryotic small subunit ribosomal RNA", at positions 569 to 1092 of the family's 1831-position model. The record is from RNAcentral. Lineage: Eukaryota; Fungi; Glomeromycota; Glomeromycetes; Glomerales; Glomeraceae.